CGAGGAAUCUUGCGCAAUGGGGGAAACCCUGACGCAGCAACGCCGCGUGAGUGAGGAAGGUCUUCGGAUCGUAAAGCUCUGUCAGUUGGAAAGAAAUGUCUGAGAGUCAAUACCUUUCAGGCUUGACGGUACCAUCAGAGGAAGCACCGGCUAACUCCGUGCCAGCAGCCGCGGUAAUACGGGGGGUGCAAGCGUUGUUCGGAAUUAUUGGGCGUAAAGAGCGUGUAGGCGGCCGGAUAUGUCAGAUGUGAAAGCCCCGGGCUUAACCCGGGAAGUGCAUUUGAAACUGUCCGGCUCGGGUAGGGGAGAGGGAAGUGGAAUUCCUGGUGUAGAGGUGAAAUUCGUAGAUAUCAGGAGGAACACCGGUGGCGAAGGCGACUUCCUGGCCCUAUACUGACGCUGAGACGCGAGAGCGUGGGUAGCAAACAG
RNAcentral lists this ribosomal RNA (429 nucleotides) under uncultured bacterium. Its description in RNAcentral is "bacterial SSU rRNA". It matches the Rfam family "Bacterial small subunit ribosomal RNA", at positions 355 to 775 of the family's 1533-position model. The record is from RNAcentral.